This 986-nucleotide ribosomal RNA is filed under the name Coleosporium montanum. RNAcentral's name for it is "partial large subunit ribosomal RNA". The record is from RNAcentral. Lineage: Eukaryota; Fungi; Basidiomycota; Pucciniomycetes; Pucciniales; Coleosporiaceae.
CAGGUGGGACUACCCGCUGAACUUAAGCAUAUCAAUAAGCGGAGGAAAAGAAACUAACAAGGAUUCCCCUAGUAACGGCGAGUGAAGAGGGAAAAGCCCAAAUUUGUAAUCUGGCUCUUUUAUAGGAGUCCGAGUUGUAAUUUUGAGAACUGUUUUCUGUGCUGGACCAUAUACAAGUCUGUUGGAAAACAGCAUCAUUGAGGGUGAUAAUCCCGUAGAUGAUAUGGACUACCAGUGCAAUAUGAUACAGUCUCUAAGAGUCGAGUUGUUUGGGAAUGCAGCUCAAAGUGGGUGGUAAAUUCCAUCUAAGGCUAAAUAUAGGUGAGAGACCGAUAGCAAACAAGUACCGUGAGGGAAAGAUGAAAAGAACUUUGGAAAGAGAGUUAAYAGUACGUGAAAUUGUUAAAAGGGAAACAUUUGAAGUUAGACUUGUUAUUAUUGGUUCAGCUCCUCUUUUUUAAUUAGGAGUUUAUUCCAAUGGUUGACAGACCAGCAUCAAUUUUUGAGUGUUAGAUAAGGGUCUUGGAGAAUGUGGCAACUUUGGUUGUGUUAUAGCUCCUGGCUUGAUAUAAUGCUUAAGAUUGAGGAACGCAGUGAGCUUUAUUUUUUGAAGCGGAUUCUUUUGAAUCUUCAUCACUACGGAUGUUGGUGUAAUAGCUUUAAAUGACCCGUCUUGAAACACGGACCAAGGAGUCUAACAUGCUUGCGAGUAUUUGGGUGUUGAAACCCCUGAUGCAUAAUGAAAGUGAAUGUAAAUGGGAUCCGUAAAAGGUGCACCAUUGACCAGUCCUGAUUAUUUAUAUGAAGGUACUGAGUAAGAGCAAGUAUGUUGGGACCCGAAAGAUGGUGAACUAUGCCUGAAUAGGGUGAAGCCAGAGGAAACUCUGGUGGAAGCUCGUAGCGGUUCUGACGUGCAAAUCGAUCGUCAAAUUUGGGUAUAGGGGCGAAAGACUAAUCGAACCAUCUAGUAGCUGGUUCCUGCCGAA